AUGGCGCCGGGGUUCGCCAAGUUUGAUUUGGAGAAAUUCGAUGGCACGGGUAACUUCGGUCUAUGGCAGACAAGAGUCAAGGAUAUUCUGGCGCAGCAGGGAAUCUUGAAGGGUUUGCAGGAGACGAAGCCGGCCAAGGUUGACAAUGAUGUGUGGGAGGAUAUGCAAGUGCAGGCGGCCGCUACCAUACGGCUUUGUCUUGCGGAUCAGGUCAUGUAUCAUGUCAUGGACGAAGAUACUCCUAAGGAAAUUUGGGAUAAGUUGGCAAAUCGUUAUAUGUCCAAGUCAGCGACCAAUAAGCUGUAUUUGAAGCAAAAGUUCUAUGGGCUGAAGAUGCAGGAGGGGUCGGAUCUUGUGGAGCAUGUGAACGCCUUUAAUCAAUUUGCCACGGAUCUAGCGCGUCUGGAUGUGAAGAUUGAUGAUGAGGAUAAGGCACUACUUCUUCUUGUUUCGUUGCCACCGUCCUAUGAGCAUUUGGUCAUUACAUUGACACAUGGAAAGACAACCAUCAAUAAUGAGGAAGUCACUGCAGCGUUACUUGGACAUGAGUUGAUGAAGCAAAAAAAUGCUGUAGAAAGGGAGAGUACUCAAGGUUUGGGGUUGACAGUUAAAGGUUAUCAGCUCAGGAAGGGACAAGAGGCGGAGAAGAAAAAGAAGAAAAAGGUGCAGUGCUACAGGUGCAAGGAUUGGGGACAUAUAAAGAGGGAAUGCCCAGAACUGAUGGGUGGGGCAAGUGCUAAUGCGGCUACUCAUGGUGAUGACUCAGACAGCAGUAGUGAUGUUCUCGUAGUAUCAAACAUGCGGUCAACAAAAACUGAAGCGUGGAUGUUGGAUUCAGCUUGCUCUUUUCAUGCGACGCCCAACAGGGAGUGGUUCUCUUCGUACAAGUCUGGUGAGUUUGGUUUAGCCUAUGUGGGCGAUGACACAGGUUAUCGUGUUGCUGGAGUAGGUGACAUCAAAAUCAAGAUGUUUGACGGAGUUGAGCGGAUGCUUCGGGGAGUCAGGCAUGUGCCAGGGCUAAGGAGGAAUUUAAUUUCACUUGGUGUUCUUCAUGAUGGUGGUAUGGAAUUCCGUUGUGAUCGGGAUACGAAGACCAUGAAAAUCAUGGAAGGUGGGGCGACCGUGAUGAUAGGAGAGAGGACGGCUUCGCAUCUUUACAAGUUGCAAGGGAGCACUAUUGCAGGUGGA
Molecule: ribosomal RNA, 1188 nt
Filed under: Triticum aestivum (bread wheat)
Lineage: Eukaryota; Viridiplantae; Streptophyta; Magnoliopsida; Poales; Poaceae
Description: partial small subunit ribosomal RNA
Source: RNAcentral